CAGUAGCCGCGGUAAUACGAAGGGGGCUAGCGUUGCUCGGAAUCACUGGGCGUAAAGGGUGCGUAGGCGGGUCUUUAAGUCAGGGGUGAAAUCCUGGAGCUCAACUCCAGAACUGCCUUUGAUACUGAAGAUCUUGAGUUCGGGAGAGGUGAGUGGAACUGCGAGUGUAGAGGUGAAAUUCGUAGAUAUUCGCAAGAACACCAGUGGCGAAAGCGGCUCUCUGGCUUGUAACUGACGCUGAGGCUCGAAAGCGUGGGGAGCAAACAGGAUUAGAUACCCGUGUAGUCCCUGUCUCUUAUAC
Molecule: ribosomal RNA, 301 nt
Filed under: uncultured bacterium
Lineage: Bacteria
Description: partial 16S ribosomal RNA
Rfam family: Bacterial small subunit ribosomal RNA
Source: RNAcentral